AUACGGAGGACGCGAGCGUUAUCCGGAUUCAUUGGGUUUAAAGGGUGCGCAGGCGGCCGUGCAAGUCAGCGAUGAAAGCCCGGGGCUCAACCCCGGAAGUGCCGUUGAUACUGCAUGGCUGGAAUGCGGUCGAGGCGGGCGGAACGUGGCGUGUAGCGGUGAAAUGCGUAGAUAUGCCACAGAACGCCGAUGGCGGAGGCAGCUCGCCAGGCCUGCAUUGACGCUCGGGCACGAAAGCGUGGGGAUCGAACAGGAUUAGAGCCCCUGGUAGUCCACGCCGUAAACGAUGGGCGCUCGUCGUCGGCGGCAGACAGUCGGCGGCCAAGCGAAAGCGAUAAGCGCCCCACCUGGGGAGUACGGUCGCAAGGCUGAAACUCAAAUGAAUUGACGGGG
Molecule: ribosomal RNA, 393 nt
Filed under: uncultured bacterium
Lineage: Bacteria
Description: partial 16S ribosomal RNA
Rfam family: Bacterial small subunit ribosomal RNA
Source: RNAcentral